This 432-nucleotide ribosomal RNA is filed under the name uncultured bacterium. Its description in RNAcentral is "bacterial SSU rRNA". It matches the Rfam family "Bacterial small subunit ribosomal RNA", at positions 957 to 1391 of the family's 1533-position model. The record is from RNAcentral.
GAACGCGAAGAACCUUACCAGGUCUUGACAUCCCUCUGACCACUCUAGAGAUAGAGUUUUCCUUCGGGACAGAGGUGACAGGUGGUGCAUGGUUGUCGUCAGCUCGUGUCGUGAGAUGUUGGGUUAAGUCCCGCAACGAGCGCAACCCCUAUUGUUAGUUGCCAUCAUUCAGUUGGGCACUCUAGCGAGACUGCCGGUAAUAAACCGGAGGAAGGUGGGGAUGACGUCAAAUCAUCAUGCCCCUUAUGACCUGGGCUACACACGUGCUACAAUGGCUGGUACAACGAGUCGCAAGUCGGUGACGGCAAGCUAAUCUCUUAAAGCCAGUCUCAGUUCGGAUUGUAGGCUGCAACUCGCUACAUGAAGUCGGAAUCGCUAGUAAUCGCGGAUCAGCACGCCGCGGUGAAUACGUUCCCGGGUCUUGUACACACC